This 573-nucleotide ribosomal RNA is filed under the name uncultured bacterium. Its description in RNAcentral is "partial 16S ribosomal RNA". It matches the Rfam family "Bacterial small subunit ribosomal RNA", at positions 355 to 922 of the family's 1533-position model. The record is from RNAcentral.
UGGGGAAUUUUGGACAAUGGGCGAAAGCCUGAUCCAGCAAUGCCGCGUGUGUGAAGAAGGCCUUCGGGUUGUAAAGCACUUUUGUCCGGAAAGAAAUCCUUGGCUCUAAUACAGUCGGGGGAUGACGGUACCGGAAGAAUAAGCACCGGCUAACUACGUGCCAGCAGCCGCGGUAAUACGUAGGGUGCAAGCGUUAAUCGGAAUUACUGGGCGUAAAGCGUGCGCAGGCGGUUUGCUAAGACCGAUGUGAAAUCCCCGGGCUCAACCUGGGAACUGCAUUGGUGACUGGCAGGCUAGAGUAUGGCAGAGGGGGGUAGAAUUCCACUGUAGCAGUGAAAUGCGUAGAGAUGUGGAGGAAUACCGAUGGCGAAGGCAGCCCCCUGGGCCAAUACUGACGCUCAUGCACGAAAGCGUGGGGAGCAAACAGGAUUAGAUACCCUGGUAGUCCACGCCCUAAACGAUGUCAACUAGUUGUUGGGGAUUCAUUUCCUUAGUAACGUAGCUAACGCGUGAAGUUGACCGCCUGGGGAGUACGGUCGCAAGAUUAAAACUCAAAUGAAUUGACGGGGUCAU